GACGAACGCUGGCGGCGUGCUUAACACAUGCCAGUCGAACGGAAAGGCCCUGCUUUUGUGGGGUGCUCGAGUGGCGAACGGGUGAGUAACACGUGAGUAACCUGCCCUUGACUUUGGGAUAACUUCAGGAAACUGGGGCUAAUACCGGAUAGGAGCUCCUGCUGCAUGGUGGGGGUUGGAAAGUUUCGGCGGUUGUGGAUGGACUCGCGGCUUAUCAGCUUGUUGGUGGGGUAGUGGCUUACCAAGGCUUUGACGGGUAGCCGGCCUGAGAGGGUGACCGGCCACAUUGGGAUUGAGAUACGGCCCAGACUCCUACGGGAGGCAGCAGUGGGGAAUAUUGCACAAUGGGCGGAAGCCUGAUGCAGCAACGCCGCGUGCGGGAUGACGGCCUUCGGGUUGUAAACCGCUUUCGCCUGUGACGAAGCGUGAGUGACGGUAAUGGGUAAAGAAGCACCGGCUAACUACGUG
This 468-nucleotide ribosomal RNA is filed under the name uncultured bacterium. RNAcentral's name for it is "partial 16S ribosomal RNA". It matches the Rfam family "Bacterial small subunit ribosomal RNA", at positions 28 to 507 of the family's 1533-position model. The record is from RNAcentral.